CAGCAGUAUCGCCUUGCUUCCGUGGCUGCCUGGCUUUCCUCCUCAGGCAUUUCCCACCACAGUCUCCUCCCUCACAUCCCCUCAAUCCGUCUGUCCUCAGUCAACAGCAGCCCUCUCCUGGGAUUGCUCCACAAUCCCUUAACUCCAGCUCCCAGCCACUGCCCUUUCCAGGGGACCAGUGUUCCUGUCUGGGAGAGACUUGCCUGAAAAUGGCUGCCAUAGACGGGGAGAGGAGUGUAAAAGAGGAAUGCCCGGAAGUGAGUCCCUGGACCAGUGAAGAAGGAGCAGAGCCACUGUCUCCUGGCCUUGGGCUCCAACGCCCUGGAAGAGGAGCAUUUGGGCGAGAAGAUUCAGAGGCGGGUGAUGGUGUGUCAAGAAUGCUGCA
Molecule: long non-coding RNA, 385 nt
Filed under: Capra hircus (goat)
Lineage: Eukaryota; Metazoa; Chordata; Mammalia; Artiodactyla; Bovidae
Description: lncRNA (ENSCHIG00000000916.1)
Source: RNAcentral